Molecule: long non-coding RNA, 151 nt
Organism: Thalassophryne amazonica
Lineage: Eukaryota; Metazoa; Chordata; Actinopteri; Batrachoidiformes; Batrachoididae
Exons: 3
Source: RefSeq, a predicted model, not a curated record
GUACAUCAGAUGUGAAAAUACAGACACUGUUAAAACUUUAAACCGUUCUUGCUCAUGAUUUGACAUCGGUGAUACCAAAACCGUCCUAAAAUUCACCUUCACAAUGCAAUGCAAGUUAAAAAAAAAAAAUAGAAUUUUUUUGUAAAGUUGC